AUGAGGGUAAUCGCCUUCACGACA
Molecule: non-coding RNA, 24 nt
Filed under: Arabidopsis thaliana (thale cress)
Lineage: Eukaryota; Viridiplantae; Streptophyta; Magnoliopsida; Brassicales; Brassicaceae
Source: RNAcentral